Molecule: ribosomal RNA, 429 nt
Filed under: Bacteroidota bacterium
Lineage: Bacteria; Pseudomonadati; Bacteroidota
Description: Bacteroidetes bacterium partial 16S ribosomal RNA
Rfam family: Bacterial small subunit ribosomal RNA
Source: RNAcentral
UGGGGAAUCUUCCGCAAUGGACGAAAGUCUGACGGAGCAACGCCGCGUGAGUGAUGACGGUCUUCGGAUUGUAAAGCUCUGUUAAUCGGGACGAAUGGUUUGUGUGCAAAUAGUGCAUAGACAUGACGGUACCGGAAUAGAAAGCCACGGCUAACUACGUGCCAGCAGCCGCGGUAAUACGUAGGUGGCAAGCGUUGUCCGGAAUUAUUGGGCGUAAAGCGCGCGCAGGCGGACUAGCCAGUCAGUCUUAAAAGUUCGGGGCUUAACCCCGUGAUGGGAUUGAAACUACUAGUCUAGAGUAUCGGAGAGGAAAGUGGAAUUCCUAGUGUAGCGGUGAAAUGCGUAGAUAUUAGGAAGAACACCAGUGGCGGAGGCGACUUUCUGGACGAACACUGACGCUGAGGCGCGAAAGCCAGGGGAGCGAACAGG